GUAGGUAAGGGUAUUGUCCAGCCAGUAGGGGGGAUUGUUUUCAUCCUGGCUGUACUAUUGUGAAUCUUCUGCCAGGCAAUUAUAUUUAUCCAUCCUUUCCAACACCUGUCUUCUAACAAUUUAAGUAAAACAACAAUAAGGUUCAAAUAUUGGUGAUUUAUAUUAAAACUUGUCUUUUUUUUUAGAUUAGUCUAUGUGUGCAUCAGAACAUGGUGAAUAAAGUUACUAAAAAGAGCUUAAGGAGUAACUGGCAAAAUUAAAUAACUGGCAAGAAACUGGAACAAUUAAAUACUGAAGAGUCACUUUUGGCAGGAAAGUGUUCAGAACAGCAGACUCUCAGAGCAAGCAGGAGGAGGCAUUAAGCUAUAGGCAAUCACAUUACUUGAAGAGAAAAGAUGUCUUCCCUUCUGUACCAACUCUUUAAUUAUACAUGUGGGAACCAGUUUCAUCCUUCUACUCUGAGCUGCAUGAAAUCCAGGGCUUGGGUUCACCUCAUCUGAUCAAGGAGCAUGAGAUGCAGAGGAAAAGAAGAAGUAAUGCAGUUAAUUAUAUAGACAUUUUUAAAGAUCAAAUUGAUGCAGGUGUCUGGCCAGGUGUAUUGGAUUUUCACCCCAGUAGUAAGAAGAUGUGCUAUUUCUGUGGCUGACAUACUAAACCUCUACGCCCUUUUGAAAUGAAUGAGAUGCUUUAGGACUGGUUCAAAUUAAGCGGAAGCAGUGCUGUUGCCAACUGGUCCUGCUUUUUUUCACCCUUUUGAUGUGCACACCUCCUUAUUAGCCUGUGUUGGAUCCGGUGACAGUGGAGUUGUAUGCUGAGUGGGAGCCGCAUUUUCACUGAAAACAUAUCUGUACAAAAUAUAAAUUUUUUUAUUUGGAUCAUCCUACUGGGAAGGGUGGGGAGGAGAUAAGAAGAAAAAUAAAUGGUUGGACUGCUCCUUCUGACAGCAGCUGUGUAUCUGGUUCAUUUAACUCCAAAAUUGUGUGAAGAGAAGAAGGAAAAAAAUAUAUUUUUGGUCAAUAUUUUGAAUAAGUAUGCAGUUACCAAUGUGUCUUUUAUUACAGUAUGCGGAACUUAAAGGAAAGAAAAAAUACUUUUAUCCCAGAGCAAAUAUUUGUAACAGCAUAUAGUGCUGCAAAAAACCAUGUAAAUAACUUGAUCUAAUUAUGAUCACACUCAGGGUAAGAAGCCUAAGAGAUGAACCAAGAUGGUGAAAAAUGAG
Molecule: long non-coding RNA, 1219 nt
Filed under: Taeniopygia guttata (zebra finch)
Lineage: Eukaryota; Metazoa; Chordata; Aves; Passeriformes; Estrildidae
Description: lncRNA (ENSTGUG00000025769.1)
Source: RNAcentral